UGUCACUUGUACAUCAUACAAACAGCAUACAGCAUACAUCAUAAAACAGAUGUAUGCUGUUUUAAAUAAAUUACUUCAUGUCAUUUUUCAGUUCUUCUGAGUAAGGAACUCCCUUUGGAUAAUCUGGGAAUUCCAUGGAAUGGUUGGAGGAUUGUAAGCCAAUCAUUUAGACUUUUAUAAAGCAAUGAGUUCUGAAUGGGCAGAUUCCUGUGUUUGCAAGGAACUCAUUGCAAAACCAGGGACUUAAGUAUUGGCUUUUGACACAUACAUUCUAACGUGACUGUGCAUCUGGAAGGAAAAAACGUAAAUCCAAGUAUCAUCAAGCAAAGCAAUGGGCUUCACCAAUAUAUCCUAAGUGUGUGUAAAAAGAAAUAAAAGAAGAACAAUUUCAGCAGCAAAAGAGCUUGUUUCCUGGGAUUGUAAUUUUCACUUGCACCAUUACCCUGUCUGCACUGCAAGAUAAAAGAAUCCCAUCCUUUCAAGUGACCAACUAUAGCUUGCAAAAUUACCAAUGACAGAUGAGGAGCAGCAACCAGACUGAAGGAACAUUCAGAAAAGAAACUAACUGCAGGAAUAUGAAGUGGCAAAGCGGUAUUCACACCAUUUUAAAACUUCAAACCAAGUCUCUCUGCCUUGUUAUAUACAAUUUUUUUAUACCUUUUUAUAUAUAAUUUAAGUAAAAAUAUGUAAUAGCUUUUUUAAAGCAAAAAUAAAUGGAAGGCAAGUAAAAUAUAUUUUAAAAUUCACUGAUUGUUAUAAAACAUGAAACUAAAAAAUAAAGGUCAUUUUGGUAUGCUGAA
Alligator mississippiensis (American alligator) is the source of this 800-nucleotide long non-coding RNA. RefSeq lists it as uncharacterized. The transcript has 3 exons. The record is from RefSeq and is a predicted model, not a curated record. Lineage: Eukaryota; Metazoa; Chordata; Crocodylia; Alligatoridae.